Molecule: ribosomal RNA, 881 nt
Filed under: uncultured bacterium
Lineage: Bacteria
Description: bacterial SSU rRNA
Rfam family: Bacterial small subunit ribosomal RNA
Source: RNAcentral
AGAGUUUGAUCCUGGCUCAGGACGAACGCUGGCGGCAUGCCUAAUACAUGCAAGUCGAACGAGCUUCCGUUGAAUGACGUGCUUGCACUGAUUCUAACAAUGAAGCGAGUGGCGAACUGGUGAGUAACACGUGGGAAAUCUGCCCAGAAGCAGGGGAUAACACUUGGAAACAGGUGCUAAUACCGUAUAACAACAAAAUCCGCAUGGAUUUUGUUUGAAAGGUGGCUUCGGCUAUCACUUCUGGAUGAUCCCGCGGCGUAUUAGUUAGUUGGUGAGGUAGAGGCCCACCAAGACGAUGAUACGUAGCCGACCUGAGAGGGUAAUCGGCCACAUUGGGACUGAGACACGGCCCAAACUCCUACGGGAGGCAGCAGUAGGGAAUCUUCCACAAUGGACGAAAGUCUGAUGGAGCAAUGCCGCGUGAGUGAAGAAGGGUUUCGGCUCGUAAAACUCUGUUGUUAAAGAAGAACACCUUUGAGAGUAACUGUUCAAGGGUUGACGGUAUUUAACCAGAAAGCCACGGCUAACUACGUGCCAGCAGCCGCGGUAAUACGUAGGUGGCAAGCGUUGUCCGGAUUUAUUGGGCGUAAAGCGAGCGCAGGCGGUUUUUUAAGUCUGAUGUGAAAGCCUUCGGCUUAACCGGAGAAGUGCAUCGGAAACUGGGAGACUUGAGUGCAGAAGAGGACAGUGGAACUCCAUGUGUAGCGGUGGAAUGCGUAGAUAUAUGGAAGAACACCAGUGGCGAAGGCGGCUGUCUAGUCUGUAACUGACGCUGAGGCUCGAAAGCAUGGGUAGCGAACAGGAUUAGAUACCCUGGUAGUCCAUGCCGUAAACGAUGAGUGCUAAGUGUUGGAGGGUUUCCGCCCUUCAGUGCUGCAGCU